Molecule: long non-coding RNA, 1002 nt
Organism: Spinacia oleracea (spinach)
Lineage: Eukaryota; Viridiplantae; Streptophyta; Magnoliopsida; Caryophyllales; Amaranthaceae
Exons: 2
Source: RefSeq, a predicted model, not a curated record
UCUAUAUUCUUUCGCUAAUUCGUUAUUUCCAUCUCUCUCCUUGCCUUCUCUGUUUUCAUGCCUCUCGUCACUCUCUUCUUACUUUCUCUAUCUAUCAGGUAGAUUUUUGAGAAAUUCGACAUUGAUCUGAAAACCUAAUCUCCGAUUCUUCGCUCAUCAGGUUAUGGAAAGUGACUAGUAUGGCCCAAAUAGGAUAGAAAAUAUGGUAUGCGUACCAUUAAUUUGAAUGUAAAUUUGGUCUAAUGCACCAAAGUUUUUAUUUUAAAUAUGGCAUGCGUACCAUCAAAUAGUUGUAAUUAGUUUUAAUUAUAGCAUAUCCUAUUUGAAGAAAAUGGCGCCUCCCAUGGCCGGUGAAAUUCAAGACGGAAUUUCCUAACCAUUUUCUAAGACGGAGUUUGAAGUUGAAGCUUCAAGAUGAAGUCGGACCAUAUUAGAUCACAUUUAAAUCUUAUGCAUGAUUUAAGUUAUUUAUUGCUAUAAAUAUGUCUUGAGUAUGCAUUAGAUUAUGGCUUGAUUAUGUUGCAUGAUGAAGGAUUUUAGUUCACUUAAAAUCUAACCAACAUAGUAAGAGCCUUAAGUUCGAAACUUUAAAAAUUGAGUUAAAAGGUGUCAUGCCAAAAUAACACUUACUUGGAUAACCUUUACAUCGAUCUAAGUAAUAGUUCUCCGCCAUAGCGAGGUGUUACUUGUUGAUCCUAAAGGGGUAAGGUGAACAAAUAAUUCUGAGUACAUGUUAAUUUUGGUGAAGCUCAACGAUAUAAGUAAGGAGUCCUUUUAUGUCAUGGCAAAUGAGAUAGGUUUACCUAAUAAUUUCUUAGACGUACCUAUCAACCAAGAUUAGUUUCUAGACUAUUAGCAAAGGUUUUGCGUACCUAAAAUAUUUUAGAAUUGAGUUUAAAUACAAAAUGUAAUUAUUCAAUGAUUUAAGGAACUUGGAUUCAUUUUAUUCACACCUGUCGGAACAAUAAAUUCGAAUAAAAUGCGAAUGACUUGUUUAAAUUG